UACGUAGGGUGCUAGCGUUGUCCGGAUUUAUUGGGCGUAAAGGGCUCGUAGGCGGCGUGUCGCGUUGGGAGUGAAAGCCCGCUGCUUAACGGCGGGUUGGCUUCCGGUACGGGCAUCGCUGGAGUGCGGCAGGGGAGACUGGAAUUCCUGGUGUAGCGGUGGAAUGCGCAGAUAUCAGGAGGAACACCGGUGGCGAAGGCGGGUCUCUGGGCCGUUACUGACGCUGAGGAGCGAAAGCGUGGGGAGCGAACAGG
Molecule: ribosomal RNA, 254 nt
Filed under: uncultured bacterium
Lineage: Bacteria
Description: partial 16S ribosomal RNA
Rfam family: Bacterial small subunit ribosomal RNA
Source: RNAcentral